UAUUGUAAAUCCCAUUGAAUUUAUACUUUCCCGGCAUUGAGCCUAAUUAUCACUGCUUCUCCAUAGGUUAAUGCGCUAGACUUUGAGAUUGGGAUCCCGCAGGACGCAAAUCUCGCGGUCCGUUCAUCUUCGGAACACAGUUUAAGAUAUUUUAGAUUUAGUCAGAGAGCUUUCAGUCAGUGUAGUGUAGUGAUGUCCGGUUCUCGAAAUGAAUGAUUAGACUGAACAAAUUCACCAAAUCAAACGGAAUCAUUUGAAACGGUUCUCGUCUCCAAUAAGCAUUAAUCACACUAAAAAAUCCUGGGUUAUUUUUUCUACCCAAGUGCUGGGUUGAGCCAUUUGGGUAAAUUUUUUGGGUUAUUUUCUCAGUCUUGGGUAGUUUUUGGGUAGUUCUAUGUAACCCAACCGCUGGGUUAUUUUCUGGGUCGUUUUCACUGAGAGCUGAAUCAAUGCACCCCCUCCCCCACUCGGACGCAAUAACCCAGCUCAUUGGGUCAAAUUAACUCAGCGCAGGAUCAGCGCUGACGCAGCGCGAGCUGACUGAAUUCGAAGUGGAGGUGGAUGCCACACACACGCUGUAAUAUUUGGAGAAAUAAGACCUGCUCUUGACUGUCCGUGGUGGCAAAUCCACAGCCUUUCGCUGUAGUAGAAUCAACCGUAUCUGAAGAGAGAGCUGAGGAAAUUAAACAAUGUCUAAGAAACAACACAUAGCCCAUCAGCCAGGUGGAACAGUACAUGCGAAAAAUAUGUUUGAGGUCCUCCAUGAGUUUCCUCGGCUAACUACCUCAGGCAUGAUUGCACAGGACUUUCACAUUUUACAUCAAGAUGAAGCCCCAAAACUGUUUGAAAAAUGGCUGGUAUACUGACAGGAUCUUGCUUUUUGCGAAGCGAGAAGCAAAGCUUCCAUGUACAGCUGAAGAAAUGACAGAAGAUGCAAAGGGAAAUCUUCCACUAAAGCGGUUACCUGUUUUGCUACCACCUCCACCCUACAAAAUUGGCAGAAAAACAAUCCGGCCCAGCAAUGAUGAAAGCAAAAAAGCUUUCAUUGACAUUCAGCCUGUUGGAACAAAUAUGGUGGAGUACCUCCAGCAGGCUGAAGCAUCAAGACCUUACCCUUAUGUCCUGUAACUUGAAAAUGGACACAUUACGUCGCAGGCAUUUGUCAUCCUCGCAGGAGAAGCUUUGGAACAAAGCACUCUCAUUGGGACAGUAAAUGUAUAUUUCAAAUCGUUUUAUGUUUUUGAUGUAAACAAAACAGUGUUUCUAUAUUCAGGAGUUUAUUCAUAAUAUUUUUGAGUUGGAGGGAAGUGAAUCCUCAACAGUGAAAUUUUUGCACUGGGCACUACAUUCUUGCAAGUAGAUUAUAAGAGGUUCUUUGAACAAACAGUGGUUCAAGAACACGAGGUAGAAUUUUAGUUUUAUUUGCACAUGAGAUUUUUGUUGUUCUGUUUUUUUUUUGUAUAAACAACUGUUUUAUUGCUUGAGGAAAAGUAUUACUUUAUGUGUACUGAUGAUCAUCCAUUACAUUUUUAUGUAGAAAUGUUUUACUGCCAAGUGACCCAUACUCAGAAUUUGUGCUCUGCAUUUAACCCAUCCAAAGUGCACACGCACCCGGAGCAGUGGGCAGCCAUUUAUGCUGCGGCACCCGGGGAGCAGUUGGGGGUUCGAUGCCUUGCUCAAGGGCACCUAAGUCAAAGGUUUAGAGAGAACUAUACAUGCACUCCCCCCACCCACAAUUCCUGCUGGCCCCGAGACUCAAACUCACAACCCUUUGAUUGUGAGUCUGAUUCUCUAACCACUAGGCCAUGACUUCCCCUUUAUGAAUUCCCAUUAUGAGUUACAGAGGCAAACCAUAAAAAUGAAAGAAAUUGUUUUAAAUACUGUUUAUAAAUGUAAUUAUUUUUUUAGUUUUGUAUGAUCUCUUGAAUUUUUGGUUGAGGUAAAGUGUAAUUACAAAGUGUAAUAUGCUGAAAGAAAAAUAAAGAUAAUACAAUGUUGAUCUGUUUGUUUAUUAUGUGGUAUAUUUAAUGUUAAAAGGAAUAAAACUUACCUUUGAAAAUAUAACCCAUUUAUGAAAUCAAAUUAACCCAUUAUUUUUGUAAAAAUAACCAAUUUUUGGGUAGAAAAAACAACCCAUUUGCUGGGUUAAAAUUAAUAACCCAACUUCUUGGGUUAGUUUAACCCCAUAUGGGUUCUGUCCUAUAUUUACCCAGCAGUUGUGUUAAAAACAACCCAAUUUGGGUUGUUUUUAACCCAGUCUUUUUUAGAGUGAUCCACAAAUGACUUAAGCUGUUAACUUUUUUAAUGUGGCUGACACUCCCUCUGAGUUAAAACAAACCAAUAUCCCGGAGUAAUUCAUUUACUCAAACAGUACACUGACUGAACUGCUGUGAAGAGAGAACUGAAGAUAAACACCGAGCCAAGCCAGAUAACGAACAAAAGACUGACUCGUUCACAAGUCAAGAACCGUUUCUGUUGGACGCGUCCGAUUCUAGAACAAAACUGGUACUUCUGGUGCUUGAUUCUGAACUGAUUCUGUGCUAAUGUUAUGAGUGCGGGUAAACCAAAGGCUUGAAUCAAGGGCAAUCAUCGUUAGGGAUGGAUAUCAUUAAGGUUUUAAUGGUAUUACUACUCUUACCGAUACUGCUUAAUGGUCCGAUACUUUAACGGUAUUCUUAUCGGUACUUUGUUUUGUCUUACUGUGUUACUUUGUGUUGUGUUUAGGCAGUCGAAAACUUUGCAUUUCUCUGUCUGCACAUAAUGCACUUUUGAAAGAUGCUUUGACCGAUUGCUUGUGUUUCCACCCUUACAUGCAAAAAUUGUGUUGCACUUACGACAACCAGCGUUGUCUGCAUCAACUCUAGUGAAGUAUAACCACACUUUGGAAACAUUUUGCUGUCUCCGCCAUCUUAACUCUUUGUAUUAAGCAGGAGUUUUCGUACUGUAAGGGGCCGUCCACAUAUCGCGUCGCUUUCUGAUUUUUCCCCCAAAGCCUUCGGGCACUUGCGCUCCUGAGGAGUCUGCCAUUGCUAAGCAACCAUGACCUGCUCUCUCCAUGAAAACGCGGAAAUUUCAGCAAAGGAUAAAUGGAUUUGCAACACUAAAAACUGCUUGCAAUAGCUCUGCUACUAAAUUACUUUAAAAAUCCACAUACAGCUAUCAGCUGUUCCUUCAUCUUGACUGAGCUUCCAACGUUGUUACAGAAAAGGUGAGGAAGUUACAUGACCUGCGGUGCGCUUGCGGCAUUCUGAAAAGUUGAGAUGUUUUUAACUCGAUGCGGAGCGGACGGGCCUGGAGAGAACGAGCUCGUCGCACCGUGAGCGAGUGGCGACCGCGUCACUUCCAUUAUGAGCGCGCAUAUCGCGUGCCUACAUUUGAAAUGACGAACUUGAGUGCGCAUAAUAUAUGAACGGCCCCUUAUGCGUGUGUGUGCGCGCCGCGCUCGUUAUUGUUGUGUGUGUGUGUGUGACUGACAGACAGCCUCCGCGGCGCACAUGAGAGCUCUCGCAGAUUUCACAGACAAACAUCUUAAUAUGAUCGCACUUUAGAAAUGUGUGGGAAGAUAAAAUGUGCACGAUAACAUUAUUAAGCAAAUCUCUUCGCCAUAGUCACUCUUUAUUAUUAAGCGUGAGUUUUCAUACUGUUAUGUCUGUGCGUGUGCCGCAUUCGUUGUGGUGUGCCCGCGGAGCCUGUCUGUCAGUCACACACCACAACGAGUGGGCGCGCAUGAGAGAUCUCACAGAUCUCACAGACGUCUUAAUAUGAUCGCACAUUAGAAAUGUUUGCUGAGAUAAAAUGUGCACGAUAACAUUAUUAAGCAAAAAUACAUAGCACAUUAAUUUUUUCCCCUCCAGAACCGAAAGAAGAACUGAUGACGUCAGAUCUUACUGAUACUACGGUCUUUCAUAAUUUAGCCCAUUUUAAUACCGGGUUUCGGUACCCAUUUCUAAUCAUCGCCAAUGACGCCAUUACAUGGAGCGCAAAAGAACCGGUGAACCAUUUAAAUGAUUAAUGCUUAUUGGAGAUGCAAACCAUUUCAAACGAUUCAGUUCGAUUUGGUGAACUGGCUCAAGAAGAUCCGGUUACAUCGAGUGAUUCGUUCACGAACCGGAUAUCACAAACUGCAGUGAACGCGCUCACAACAGACACGGAAGAGAAGACAAUGAUGAAUAAAGUUGUAGUUUUUGUUAUUUCUGGACCAAAAUGUAUUUUCGAUGCUUCAACAAAUUCAAACUGGCCCUCUGAUGUCACAUGGACUACUUUGAUGAUGUUUUUUCUUACCUUUCUGGUAAUGGACAGUAGACCGACACACCGCUUCAAUGGAGGAACUGAGAGCUCUCGGACUAAAUCUAAAAUAUCUUAAACUGUGUUCUGAAGAUGAACGGAGGUCUUACGGGUUUGGAACAACAUGAGGCUGAGUUAUUAAUUAUAUAAUUUUCCUUUUUGGGUGAACGAACCCUUUAAGCAAAAAAAAAAAAAAAAAGGUUUUUUUUUUAUUUAUUUUUUUAUAUAAUGUUUAAGUUAAUACUUGUUCAAAACAAUCACUUUAGCAGAGUGUGUACUAUUUUCUUUUUUUUGUGGUAUAUUGCCGAAAAUAACUUGAAUUGCACUUUCAGAUUUGAUUGUACAGGUAAAAGCAAUACAUCAAUCGAAUCUGUAAAGGGUCUACUUGUAUUAAUAUACACGCAUAAGAAAACUUUGUGCAUUUAUAAAAUAAAGAAAACGGAGUGUGCUGUCUGCAGCCUUUGUCUGCAUGAUCUUCAUUUAGAAAUGCUUCAUUAAAAUAAACUGAAAUUCAACAAAUACUUCACAAAGAGAUGUGAGAGAUAUUUCUAUAGAAAUCUUGAUAUGUCUACUUUUAAACUAAGCAAGUUUUAUCGACAACAAAUAUUAAGUAAUCGAGUAAUCCAUAUGAAACUAAUGCCAUGUCCAGUCUUUUACGUCUCUCUUCACUAACUCUAAUGCGACCACGCCCUGCGCUAUAGAUAUAUAAUCAUCCAUGUGUUACACAGCGCGUAAACAUUAUUAAUAUCAUGUUUUUAAAUAUGAUGGUUUCAUUCUUAACAUGGUGAUUAUCGCCAAGGACACCUAACAUAAUAUGGUAUUUAGCAACUGAAUCAAACCAUAUCAUGUCAAAAAAUGGAAAACUCAGCAGUCUAUUAAUUGUUAAUCACAGCGCCUUUAGUCGCUACAGUGGGGGCGCUUUUUAACCCAAAUACACUUACAAAUACAUUUACAUAUUCUUUCGUUAUUUAAAAACUGUUGCUUUAACUAACAAACAAAACUGAAAAUCAUAAAGAAGACCUUUGUCUCAAAAUAUAUGCAUUGUUUUUUUUUAGCUAUUCUCAUUUGCUACUUAAAUCUACAACAUUUAAAAAAUCAAAAAAAAAUAUUAGAUCAAACAAGCACAGAAUCAACUUUGCAGUGCUAAGCAUGAUUGCGUAAGAGAUCAGAAAAAUAACCCACGUGUUUAGUUCUGUUUUUGACAGAAGCACAUAUUGGACAAUUUUAAAAAUAGCAGCAUAAACAAAACUGAUUUCAAAUUUAAUUCAAGCACUUUCAAGGACCUAUGUUAGUUUUCAAGUACUUUCCAGGACUUGAAUCCUUGUCUGAAAUUCAAGUACUUGAAAGUACUUUCAAGAAGGGUGGGAACCCUGGAUUCAGAAUUAGAGACACGCAUCCAAACUU
This is a long non-coding RNA of Carassius gibelio (silver crucian carp), 5688 nucleotides long. RefSeq lists it as uncharacterized. NCBI's taxonomy places the organism in Eukaryota, Metazoa, Chordata, Actinopteri, Cypriniformes, Cyprinidae. The record is from RefSeq and is a predicted model, not a curated record. The transcript has 6 exons.